GUACACGCUGUGACUAGCAUAUCAAUAAGCGGAGGAAAAGAAACUAACAAGGAUUCCCUCAGUAACGGCGAGUGAAGCGGGAAGAGCUCAAAUUUGAAAUCUUCAAGGUUUUACCUUGACGAAUUGUAGUUUAAAGAAGUGUUUUCUGCUGAAGUUUUGGUAAAAGUUCUUUGGAAUAGGACAUCAUAGAGGGUGAGAAUCCCGUAUUUGACCAUUAUUUUCAGCUUUGUGAUACACUUUCAAAGAGUCGGAUUGUUUGGGAAUGCAGUCCAAAAUGGGUGGUAAAUUUCAUCUAAAGCUAAAUAUUGGCGAGAGACCGAUAGCGAACAAGUACCGUGAGGGAAAGAUGAAAAGAACUUUGAAAAGAGAGUUAAACAGUACGUGAAAUUGUCAAAAGGGAAGCGUUUGACACCAGUGUUGUUUUCUCGAAAAUCAAUUAAAAAUGGCUCGAUUUUGUAUUGCUUGAGACCUUAAAAGCUCACUGUACAUUUUUCGUGUCUUUUUUAAUGCACUUUUCGUUUAACAAGUCAACAUCAGUUUCUUUUGUUGUAAAAGGGUCAUUGGAAGGUGGCUUUCUUUUCGGAGAAAGUGUUUAUAGCCUUUGGCCUCUGCAAUCGGAGAGACUGAGGUCUGCAGCGUAGACUCUUCGGGGUUAGAUACAUUUGUGCUAAGUUAUAGCUUUUUAUAGACAACUUGUUGACUAUAAUUAGUCUUGUAGCUUACUCGCUUAUGCUAUUUUACCUACGCUUAGGAUGUUGAGUAGCGACAUACGCAC
RNAcentral lists this ribosomal RNA (775 nucleotides) under uncultured Neocallimastigales. Its description in RNAcentral is "partial large subunit ribosomal RNA". It matches the Rfam family "Eukaryotic large subunit ribosomal RNA", at positions 22 to 649 of the family's 3401-position model. Lineage: Eukaryota; Fungi; Neocallimastigomycota; Neocallimastigomycetes; Neocallimastigales. The record is from RNAcentral.